CGACACACAUGGUGCCUCGUCGAUUCGAAGUCGAAGUAAUAGUACGACACUUAUAGUGCCUCAUCAACUCAAGGUCGAAGUAUUCCUGAACACUUCCAAUCCUAUUGCAUGCCAACUAUAUCCAACUUAGUCCGACAUUGUUAAUAGGGUAUUCAAUUUACUUUCAAUUUUUCAAUCAAUACACAUUUCAGUUAAUCACAUAUAUUCUCAAUUCAAUACAAUUCACUUUACUUUUCAAUAAUAAAUAUUCAAAAUUUCAUAAUAAUCACAUAUUUAUAUUAAUUUCAUCACAUUCUCAAUCAAUAUACUUUUCAAAUAUAACAUAUAUCCAAUAAUCAAUUUUCACAUCAAUCACAUAUAUCUAUAUUAAUUCAAUUCAAUAACAAUUACUAAUACUUACCUUAAUUACUUACAAUAACACAUAAACCAGAAUAUAACAAUUAAUAAUUAAAAUUCGAAUUAAAUAUCAAUUCAAUUUAAAUUCAAUACCAAUGCUCAAAUAUCACAUAAAUCAUAAUUUCACAAACACUCAAUUCAAUAUCAAAUAUACUACACUUACCUUAAUUUUCUUACCAUAAACAUUUAAAUUAAAAUAUAACAAUUAAUAAUUAAAUUCGAAUUACAGAAAUACAAACCGUAAUUUCUGAGCUAACCCUCGUUGACUUUGCCUUUUCCUUUCUUAGCCGAGGUUUUCAGGGACAACGUUAGCUACGGAAAUUAAAACAAUUAAAAAUUAUCAAUACACUACCAUUCAAUUUCACAUUGAAUAUUCCAAAUUUUUAUUCAACUUUUGUCUAAAUUCUAACUUAGUCACUAAACCGAGACUAGCUUUUAUUCUUCACAUUUAGCUCAAUAUUUUCAAUCAAUUUCCACUUUAGAGUAAUUUCAGCUCUCCAAUUUGACCAUAAAACCAUAAUUUUGAAAUUCUUUCAAUUUAGUCCCUACUAUUAAAAACUUAUGAUUUAUUUUACAAUUCAAUUCUUAUUUCACUUCUAACUUGAAAUUCUAUCAAUUUAACCCCUAAUUCUUCAAUUUAUUCAACACGAACAAUAUUUAGAAAUCUAAUAACUUUCAAGAUUUCUACUUAAAACAAGUAGUAUUUGUAACGUCCCCCUAUCCGAGACCGUUGCCGGAGUCAAGCAGGAGACAUUACAAAACUUAUCUUAGCACUUAAACAGUUUUCGUAGUAAACUAUCCAUCUGCGUCACGGUCGCUAAAAAAAUCAUAUCUCGAGUUACGAAACUCGAAAUCCAAUUCCGUAAAUUUUUCCUGAAACUAGACUCAUAUAUCUACUGACUAUUUUUUUUUCUAGUUUUGGUCAGGCCAAUUAGUACAGUUUAUUAGAAAAAGUCUCCCCUAUUUUAGGGUUCGGCUACUCUGACCCUUGUGCACAACGAAUCAAAUUUCUUCCUGUACAGAAAUCCAAUGACUAUGCCAUUUGUUUCAAUUAAAAAUAGACUCAAUAAGGAAUCCAUACAUAUAAAGUUUGAGUCCUAAUUCUUAAUACACAAUUUAUGGUGAAUUUCUAAAGUCAAAACAGGAAAUCUAGAAAUUGCUCUAACCCUGUUUCAUCAAAACGUAAAUAUCUCAUAAAAUACAACUCUUUUACCUAUUUUGUUUCUUCCAUAUAAAAAUAGAUUCAUUAAGCUUCAAUUACAUAUUUUAUUCAUCAUUAAUUCACUUUAUACUAUUUUUGGUAUAUUUUCAAAGUUGGACUACUGUUACUGUCCAAAUCUGUUUUAGUAUAAAAUGUUGAUAACUAAGUUUAUAACAUCUUCAUUUCUUCUCUCUACAAUAUUUACCAACACUUCCUCUUAUUACUCUUCACUAACAUAUCAAAACAUACCAUACUUAAGGUUUUGGUAACAUUUACAAAACAUACCAAAAUAUCACUUAACAACUUAGAUACUUUCAAAAUGACCAAAAGACAUCCUAGGUACAAUGCCAUUUUCCAAAAAGAUAGAAACUUCACCAAAUUGAGUUCGGGGAUCGGCUUGUAUGCUGAGUCCUUAUACUUUCGUACCUAGCCUGUGCACGGAAACAAACCGUACGCUGAGAAUACUCUCAGUGGUAUUUUUAUAAACAAUAGCUUAAUCAACUUUAAAACAUGGUAAUUCAAACACAUUAUUGCUAUUAUUCAAUAUCAAUCAAUACUCUAAUAAUCUUUACUUUAUUUAUCCUUAUUAACAUAACUCGGACACUAACGGAUACACGGAUCCAACCCACACUCCAGGAUAAGCACAUAGUGCUUCAUCGGAACAAAUCCGGAACUUUAACAUUAUAGUACACAAAGUACUUCAUCGGAACAAAUCCGGAACUUUAACAGUAGUCGACACAUAGUGUCUCAUCGACUCAAUGUCGGAAUAUCCCAAUACUUUCAAUUCCUAUGACAUGUCAACUAUAUCCGACUAGCCCGACACUGUUAAUAGGGUAUUCAAAAUCACAUUCAUUUCAAUAUGGUAAAAAUACUUACCUCAUUCACAUUUUCAUACAAUAUAAAUAUCAAAUAUAGCAAUAACGAUUAAGCUCGGUUUAUAGAAAUACAAACCACUAUUUAUCGAAUUUAAUCGAUAUCUUCGUUUACUUUCUCUUUUCCCUUCUUUGAUGACGUAUCCG
RNAcentral lists this long non-coding RNA (2616 nucleotides) under Gossypium barbadense (sea-island cotton). RNAcentral describes it as "long non-coding RNA (GBAR_LNC003635)". The record is from RNAcentral. Lineage: Eukaryota; Viridiplantae; Streptophyta; Magnoliopsida; Malvales; Malvaceae.